AGACAAUAUGAAAAGGAUGGUCUAGCUGUUCGCAACCUUACGCCUCUUGAUUCUUCGCUCUACAGCUUGGGAUUGAUUACAAGCGAGCUGGUAUACUUUUGCACCUCCUCUGCAAACGAUUCCAGGAAAUAGAUGCCCAUCGAUGAAAGAGUUCGUUCUUGCUGUUCAAGAACGCACGUCGGAUUUAAGCGUUCCACGACCGUGGGUGCCAAUGGAGAAAUGCCGAAACGAGUAAGCAAUUGUCAAAACGUUUUUUUAAUUUUAUUUUUGUUUGUACACACGCACGGAACUCCUGUAGGUGGACUUUAUGCUCGAGGGGAUUUUUCGAAGUUAAAAACAAUGCUCGUCAUCCAAGGAUGAGGAAAUGGCUUCAAAAGCUAAAAGUCGAGGACAUACAACUGCGUUCGAUACCCUGAAAGAAGCUACUCGGUCCUCAAAAGAGAGGUCAGUGGUGGCUCGGGACAGUCUCGAAUGAAGCAGACGACGCCGAAGUUCCACAAGUGGUGGAUCUGAUUGACUCUGGGGUAUUUGAAGCUGAAAAAGUGCACAAGCUAGCAGCUGCCCAAAGAAUGAACACAGGCGCAAGACGAGCUAUUUCUCUUUCGUUAUGAGCAGCGAAGACUACAUUGAUGCAGUACUGAGGCUCACCUUGACGGCAUCUCUCUCGGUUCGUCAAUUUACGAAGGUUGUUUGGUUUUUCUUUCUACCAGGACCGAGAAACCAUGAGAGUCAUCCUCGAACAAGAUUUAAUUAAUUGGACUAUCGAGUUUUAGUAAUAUAUUCUCCUUCUUAA
Molecule: long non-coding RNA, 793 nt
Organism: Selaginella moellendorffii
Lineage: Eukaryota; Viridiplantae; Streptophyta; Lycopodiopsida; Selaginellales; Selaginellaceae
Exons: 3
Source: RefSeq, a predicted model, not a curated record